RNAcentral lists this ribosomal RNA (645 nucleotides) under Neoserica sp. LW1110. RNAcentral describes it as "eukaryotic LSU rRNA". It matches the Rfam family "Eukaryotic large subunit ribosomal RNA", at positions 663 to 1265 of the family's 3401-position model. Lineage: Eukaryota; Metazoa; Arthropoda; Insecta; Coleoptera; Scarabaeidae. The record is from RNAcentral.
GGACCAAGGAGUCUAGCAUGUGCGCGAGUCAUUGGGAUUUUUACUAAACCUAAAGGCGCAAUGAAAGUGAAGGUCCGCCUUGCGCGGACCGAGGGAGGAUGGAUCGUCCCGAGGGACGGCCCCGCACUCCCGGGGCGUCUCGCUCUCAUCGCGAGAAGAGGCGCACCCAGAGCGUACACGCUGGGACCCGAAAGAUGGUGAACUAUGCCUGGUCAGGACGAAGUCAGGGGAAACCCUGAUGGAGGUCCGUAGCGAUUCUGACGUGCAAAUCGAUCGUCGGAACUGGGUAUAGGGGCGAAAGACUAAUCGAACCAUCUAGUAGCUGGUUCCCUCCGAAGUUUCCCUCAGGAUAGCUGGCGCUCGCUUCUCGCGAGUCUCAUUCGGUAAAGCGAAUGAUUAGAGGCAUUGGGGUCGAAACGGCCUCAACCUAUUCUCAAACUUUAAAUGGGUGAGAUCUCCGGCUUGCUUGAACUAUGAAGCCGCGAGAUAUCGGAUCAGAGUGCCAAGUGGGCCACUUUUGGUAAGCAGAACUGGCGCUGUGGGAUGAACCAAACGCUGAGUUAAAGCGCCUAAAUCGACGCUUAUGGGAUACCAUGAAAGGCGUUGGUAACUUAAGACAGCAGGACGGUGGCCAUGGAAGUCGGA